UACGUAGGGGGCAAGCGUUGUCCGGAAUUAUUGGGCGUAAAGAGCGCGUAGGCGGUCCGAUAAGUCGGCUGUGAAAGUCAGGGGCUCAACCCUUGGAAGCCGGCCGAUACUGUCGGACUAGAGUCCGGAAGAGGCGAGUGGAAUUCCCGGUGUAGCGGUGAAAUGCGUAGAUAUCAGGAGGAACACCUGUGGCGAAAGCGGCUCACUGGACCACAACUGACGCUGAUGCGCGAAAGCUAGGGGAGCAAACAGG
This 253-nucleotide ribosomal RNA is filed under the name uncultured bacterium. RNAcentral describes it as "partial 16S ribosomal RNA". It matches the Rfam family "Bacterial small subunit ribosomal RNA", at positions 524 to 776 of the family's 1533-position model. The record is from RNAcentral.